Molecule: long non-coding RNA, 2984 nt
Organism: Mangifera indica (mango)
Lineage: Eukaryota; Viridiplantae; Streptophyta; Magnoliopsida; Sapindales; Anacardiaceae
Exons: 2
Source: RefSeq, a predicted model, not a curated record
UUUGCACCAAAAAGUCCUUUUCAUUUUACUCUCCUCCAGCUAUAUAUUAGGUGACGCCUCCUCAAAAGGUUCAAUAAGGGGAGUGUUCCCCUUAAAAUGGCAGCAAAAGGGCUGAAGGAGAGAGUUUUUUAAGUCUUGCAGGGAAGAAAGUGAAGAAAGAAGAAAAAGAGUGAGACUUUAGAAGAAAAUGAGUGAACUGAGAGGAGGGUUUUUGUGGAGUGUAAAAAGAAACCCUAAUUUUCAGUUGGGUUUAUAAAAAGUUUCUUUCCAGAAAUGGGGUUUAGAUCUGAUUGAGUCAGAGUUUUUAUGUUCUAAUCACAAGUUUGACUUGAACCCAUCUCUGAAAUCUAAAUCUUUCUAUUUUUUGUAAUAUAUAUAUAUAUACAGCUAUAGCUUUAUGUGUAAAUAUGGGCGUAGAGAGAUAAAAAUAAUAAAGAGGAAGAGAGACUGACAGAAGAGAGUGAGCACACGCAGGCAAUUGUAUGAGAAAAUACCUUUGAGGGUGCGUGCUCACUUCUCUUUCUGUCAGCUCACUCUCUUCACUUCUUUAUUCUUCACUACUCAAACACACAGACUUUUCUUCUUCUUCUUGUAUGUCUCCACGUACACUUCUUUCUUUAUAUCUAUAUAACUUCUGAAAAUAAGAAGAAAAUGAAAAAAACUGACACAUCGAGCUCUUCAUGAAGAGAAGUCUUUACUUUAUUCUCUUAAUUUGUUGUGUUUGGUUUAUUCCAUAUGGAUAAGGUAAGAUUGCAUUUAAUUUGCUCAGUUUGGAUAAAUUUUUUUAUUUUUGUUUUUGAUGAAUGCAUUUAUGUUAAUUUUAUUAUUAUAAUAGCAAGAAUAAUAUGCGAUGGAGCAUGAAACUUGAAAGCGUGACUUUUCAUGGUUCGCCUUUCCUCUUUGAGGAGGACCAACUUCGUGAACCACAGGAAGGUACGCUCGUUACUGUUCAUAAUUUAACGGAAAACUGUAUAUUUCUUUUGGAAUUUAUAUGUUCUUGACUUCUUUCUCGUUUUUACCUUCUUUGCUUGUCAAAACCCUUUCCUUUCUCCUUUCUUUCAUCUUUUUUCUGUAUUUUCACUUCCAAUUUUGGGUUUUUUGUCUUCUUUAUAGCAAAUCCCAGGUGGGUUUUUCUGUCUCUCUAAAGUUUGUAAUUUCUCGUUUUUCUUUUUGGUGAAUCAUGCUGAUAUUUAUCUGAUUUUGUUUCCUAUUUAAGUGUUGCACCUUUGUUAUCAUAUGUUUUUGCUUUCUCUUUUGAUUUGGAUUUGAUAAAUGAAGACUUUUAGUGCCACUGAGUCGAUAAUUUUUGUUCUAAAUAUGGGAAACCUGGUUUGUUUCCUCUUCUGGGAAAAUAUGCUCGAGUUUGUAGCCACGAAUAAGGUUUCCCAAGAAGGCAAUCUCCUUGUAGAGCAGCACUUAUUGUUUGGUUCUGGGAGGCAACAACAAACACCGUCUAUUUGUUGCAGCUUAAUCACUCAGGUAACUUCACUCGCCAAAAUCUUUUCAUGUCAGCUUUAUUUUCUCAUGUAUUUAGUCUCUUUUUCUUCUGAUUUUAUGUGGUUUAUUUGGUGGAUUUUGUUCUAAAUUUAGACUCAACUAAUCUGUUUCCACUUGAUGGGUUGUUUAAAUAUUUUGGGGUUCUUUCAAUAGUUGGAUUCAGUAGUUAAAAUAAGUUUCUUUUUAGAAGAUCAGCCAUUGAUGAAGGAUUUAAGAAAUUGAAUAGAACUGUAUUUCUUCAGGCUAGGUUUUAGACACUUGUUUCUGGUUUUGAGUUCUGUUCCCACAUCAAUGAAGUGCUUUUUAACUCACAUCUUCACUGAUAAUUAGUAUCAUGAGAUUGAUUUAGAUAUUUUCUUUGUGAAGAUAACGAUCUUAAGCAAUAUGCAUGUAUUGGGCCACUUAGGAGUGACUUUCUGACUAAUAUUUUGUUGAGUUGUUUGGUAGGUGGGUGAGAUUUUUCUCAUGUUCUUAUGCCAUAAGUAGUUUAUUUAAUAAAUAGUUUUAUAGUGUUCUUCUGGUUCAUUGAUGUUGAAACCUCAUUGUGGAACCAAUUUUGAUAAUUUAUUUAUUAUUCCUUAAUUGCAAAGUGUUCCGACUUUUAUUGCACAAAGAGACACAACAAUGCUUAUUAUAUAUACAUAUCAUCAUCAGAACUUCAACAAAGUUUUGUAUGUGUUGUCUCUCCCAUUGCAAUUCUUUGUUAAUAGUGUCCUCCUCUCAUCUGUGUAAUCUUUUGAUAUUUGAAAUUUACUUGGGAACUUUGGUGUUAAAGAGCUUGUAAUUCUCUGGAGUUUAUGUAUAUAUCGGCUUGGUCAUGGUGUUAGUGGUGAUUGUAGUGGAUUGAUAGUUGUUGGACAAUUAUGGUGGUGGCUAGUAGUGGUUGAUUUUAGGAUAGUGUUGCCACUUUGUGGCAAGCAGUGGUGGGAGGAUUAUGUCGGCUGCAACAGCGCAACAUGUGGUGGUGGAAAAGUGAUGAACUCAAAAAUAAAACUUAACGGGUUAAAGUUGAAUAAAAGUAAACCAUAAGAGAGCCAAUAAAGAGAUAAUUAAAUCUAAAAGGGUCAAUAUAAAAUUUAAAGAGUUAUAUCAAUAUUUUUAUAUAUACAGAACUAUAAAUUUUCAAAGUCAGGGGUCAACGGACCUUCCUUAACCCCCUGAGUGGGAAUAGUAGACAAAACUUAAGUAAUAAUUUUGACAUUGUCGGUAUCUAGGAUAAUAAGAAAAGUGUGUUGGUAGUGACACUUCUAUUCAUUGAAAUCGAACUAUGUAUAUGAGUCUAUUGAAAUUCUGAUUUUGGAUUUAUAUAUAGUUGUUGAAACAUAUUUCAUUGCCGGCUUAAGUGGAGGACAAUGGAACUUUAAAUUGAAGGAUUCUACUAUAGACCAAAAUCUUGUACCGACUUUCUUAUUUAGUCAUUGCUUUAGUAUUCUUAUGUUUAAUCUUUUCGUCUCUUUGCUAAUAAUAUAUAAAUUCCUUAAAACUCA